UACGGGGGAUGCAAGCGUUAUCCGGAAUCAUUGGGCGUAAAGCGCCUGUAGGUUGUUUAAUAAGUCUGUUGUUAAAGACUAGGGCUUAACCCUAGAAAAGCAAUGGAAACUACUAGACUAGAGUAUGGCAGGGGUAGAGGGAAUUUCUAGUGUAGCGGUGAAAUGCGUAGAUAUUAGAAAGAACACCGGUGGCGAAAGCGCUCUACUGGACCAUUACUGACACUCAGAGGCGAAAGCUAGGGUAGCAAAAGGGAUUAGAUACCCCUGUAGUCCUAGCCGUAAACGAUGGAUACUAGAUGUUGUGCAUAAAGUACAGUAUCGUAGCCAACGCGUUAAGUGUUCCGCCUGGGGAGUACGCACGCAAGUGUG
RNAcentral lists this ribosomal RNA (369 nucleotides) under uncultured phototrophic eukaryote. RNAcentral's name for it is "SSU rRNA". It matches the Rfam family "Bacterial small subunit ribosomal RNA", at positions 524 to 896 of the family's 1533-position model. The record is from RNAcentral.